This 504-nucleotide long non-coding RNA is filed under the name Zea mays. RNAcentral describes it as "long non-coding RNA NONZMAT000479". The record is from RNAcentral. Lineage: Eukaryota; Viridiplantae; Streptophyta; Magnoliopsida; Poales; Poaceae.
CUUUGAGCCGUCGCAACGGAUGUCGUGAACCUCACCGAUAGCUCCGUGUGGGGGGAAGUCGUUAGCGAACCGGUCCUGCGUAUUUUCCCCACGUCUCUGCGCUAUAAAGCCAACGCCCAGCUGACCCGGCACCCUCAACCAACCCUAGUCGCCCGAGUACUCCACGCCGCGCGCGCCAUUGGCAGAGGAGGAGAAAGAAGGGUGCCGCCGGGGAAGAUUUCUGUGUAAACUCAAAUUGGGGGGGGCGUAGCUGGUCUUGGAGCUUCUGGAGAUCACCACGUGCCUGCUUGUGGCCUCGGCGAGUGGAGAUUGUAUCGGCUGGGCCGUGAAUUGCUCGCCAGUCUUCCAUCGUCGCCGCCGUACCACGAACCACCGCGGCCGGGAGCAACUACGUCUACAACUUGGUAAGAACCACCCCAAUCCGCUCCGCGUUGAUGUAUGCAUCGUGUAGGACUAGUCGAUUCUAGGUAUGGGGCGGUGGUCGCCGCGGUGGCGAGAGUGCCA